Canis lupus familiaris (dog) is the source of this 759-nucleotide long non-coding RNA. RefSeq lists it as uncharacterized. The transcript is spliced from 2 exons. The record is from RefSeq and is a predicted model, not a curated record. NCBI's taxonomy places the organism in Eukaryota, Metazoa, Chordata, Mammalia, Carnivora, Canidae.
GCCCAGGGUUCUGGCACCGACCGUCGCUGCGUCCUGCCCCUGCAGGACUACCGCUAGUGCAGUGCGACACGGGGCGGUGCUGGCAUCUGCCAUUUCUCGGCACACCGGCACCAUUUUAUUAAAAACAAAAACAAGAAAGCUGCAGAAAACACCAGUGUCCCUGUUGGCCCCCUUGUUUUCUCCCCUCUGAUCCCUGUGGGCAGCUGCCAAAAACUAAAACUUUUUCUUCCUCCCUUCCUUCUUUUCUUUCUAAGAUCAUUUACAAGAACCAUGCAAUUCAGGGCCUGCAAAAGAAAACAAGAUUUACUGAGAGCGCAGAGGAGGAAUAGAAUGUGAGGUUGAGUGCCACCACCACCACCCCCCUCCCCAAGUAUUCCCCACACACUUAUCCCAUUUGCGAGCACCUCGUUGGACAUUCCCGUAAAACUGAAACAAUGAUUUCAUCCCAGACCGGGAGCAGAGGGGAAAAGCAGGGCACUGAAGGUGAUCCAGGCAGCCUGGAAGUUCGGAGGCCCCGGGGAUGCCAGCGAUAAUGAAUCAGGACUGCCAGUGGAAAGGACGCACUUGCAAUUCUGUCCUGAAUAGACGCAAACCUGAGCCAGCACGGGCGCACUGAACUUGCUUCUCUGCUGUAGGUCGAUUGCACUAAGAAUUUAACCAUUUUCUGCUUCAUGGACUUCAAACAGUAGGCCGGCAAAGAGCAGUAAAAGUUUGUUUGUUUAAAAAACCCCUGUCAUUAAAAAUGAGUUCCUUCUCUGG